This 724-nucleotide ribosomal RNA is filed under the name Plasmodium ovale wallikeri. RNAcentral describes it as "SSU rRNA". It matches the Rfam family "Eukaryotic small subunit ribosomal RNA", at positions 747 to 1419 of the family's 1831-position model. Lineage: Eukaryota; Apicomplexa; Aconoidasida; Haemosporida; Plasmodiidae. The record is from RNAcentral.
UUUUGUUACUUUGAGUAAAUUAGAGUGUUCAAAGCAAACAGUUAAAGCAUUUUACUGCGUUUGAAUACUACAGCAUGGAAUAACAAAAUUGAACAAGUCAAAACUCUGUUCCUUUUUCUUAUUUUGGCUUAGUUACGAUUAAUAGGAGUAGCUUGGGGGCAUUUGUAUUCAGAUGUCAGAGGUGAAAUUCUUAGAUUUUCUGGAGACAAACAACUGCGAAAGCAUUUGCCUAAAAUACUUCCAUUAAUCAAGAACGAAAGUUAAGGGAGUGAAGACGAUCAGAUACCGUCGUAAUCUUAACCAUAAACUAUGCCGACUAGGUUUUGGAUGAAAGAUUUUUAAAUAAGAAAAUUCCUUUUGGAAAUUUCUUAGAUUGCUUCCUUCAGUACCUUAUGAGAAAUCAAAGUCUUUGGGUUCUGGGGCGAGUAUUCGCGCAAGCGAGAAAGUUAAAAGAAUUGACGGAAGGGCACCACCAGGCGUGGAGCUUGCGGCUUAAUUUGACUCAACACGGGGAAACUCACUAGUUUAAGACAAGAGUAGGAUUGACAGAUUAAUAGCUCUUUCUUGAUUUCUUGGAUGGUGAUGCAUGGCCGUUUUUAGUUCGUGAAUAUGAUUUGUCUGGUUAAUUCCGAUAACGAACGAGAUCUUAACCUGCUAAUUAGCGGCGAAUACGUUAUAUUCCUACUUGAAAUUGAAUAUAGCUGAAUUUGCUUAUUUUGAAGAA